UUUUUUUUUUUUUUUUUUUUUUUGGUUGGGGUUUUUCCCAGCGUGGGAUGGCUUCUGGUCGCGUUAGUGGCGCAUGAAAAGAGAUGUGCAAAACUUAGCAGCACUUCAACGCUUGUUGCUAGUGUGUGCCCUUAUUGCUUUGCGUGCGCCUGUUGCGCGCCAGCCCAACCUUCGCACCCGCACCCGCCCCACUGCCAUCGCCUCUCCUAAUCCAAUAACAAAUCACUCUCCCACUAUCUUCCUCGACAAUAACGGACUUGAAACUGAUAAGAUCAUCACCACGACUGAUCCUAUCGUAGAGAUCUCGGUUUCUGAUCCGCGAUCCAUGUCGAAAGCGCGAGUUUAUGCCGAUGUUAACGUUUUGCGUCCCAAGGAGUACUGGGAUUACGAGUCUCUCAC
This 399-nucleotide unclassified non-coding RNA is filed under the name Hevea brasiliensis (rubber tree). Lineage: Eukaryota; Viridiplantae; Streptophyta; Magnoliopsida; Malpighiales; Euphorbiaceae. The record is from RNAcentral.